This 78-nucleotide transfer RNA is filed under the name Symmachiella macrocystis. RNAcentral describes it as "Planctomycetes bacterium CA54 tRNA-Leu". It matches the Rfam family "tRNA". Rfam says of the family: Transfer RNA (tRNA) molecules are approximately 80 nucleotides in length. Lineage: Bacteria; Pseudomonadati; Planctomycetota; Planctomycetia; Planctomycetales; Planctomycetaceae. The record is from RNAcentral.
GGCCGAGUACGCAAAUGGGAAAAGCGGCCAGGUCGAGAGCCUGGUGAAGUUGUGGGUUCGACUCCCACCUUGGUCACC